UAGAUAUUUAAUCUCAUAUUUGCUCUAUUAUUCUCUCUGCUACUAACCACUAGUAACCUGGGUUACAUCCCUUUUGCAUUUACCUUAUUAAGCAUGAACUGUGAUUACAACAGAAAACCUGUACCAGGUUCUGUGACCGUGACUCUAACUGUCCUGACAAUGAGAAGUGUUGCAGCAGUCGAUGUGGACAUUACUGUACAUCUCCUUAUACAGGUAUGUUAUAUUGCUUUGGUUUGUAGAUUAGUUUUUUAUUUCUUCUGGUAGCCAAUUUUAACAUUUCAAGUCCCCCAAAACAAAUGUGCCCCAAAAGGGUCUUGCCCCUAUUUUGUUAGCCCAGCCCCACAUAUACAUGGCUGAAGUGCAUAAUACGUUUGCAUAUGCUUGUCUCAUGUUCGCACAGAUCAAAAAAAAAAGCCAGCAUAUUGGUUUUGCUCUUACAAAAAUAAUACUAUGUGCCUAUUGAGAAGAAACAAGGCAGCCUUGGCAUCCGAUCACAGGCCUUCCUGCUCCUUGAGUUCUCUCCAGUGCUGGAAAGCUGUUUCAAUACUUAAACUGGUCCUACUUGCCUUUAUUGCAAGCCUCCUUUUGUUCUGCAGACUUAUCAUAAUUGUAUUCAUUUUUAAUCCGUCAUCCCUUCUGUUGUUGCUCUGCUUAUGCCAGUCCUGUGCCUCUCCCAUCAGGAGAAGACAUGCCCCUUACUGCUGAUUGGCUCAAGUUUGUUUUGGCACUAUGCCCAAAUCUUUCUAAAGCAUUUUUGAAAAUCAAUAACCCACCUUUACUCUCUUAGGAUUGCUUUAAGCCCAGGAUGGCUUUACCAAAGAGGAAUAAUUGGAAUGGAAUUUACUGUAGGUGAUAUUGCUGUUUGUGCUCUGAGUGUUUCGUGCUGUAUAUUGAAGUGGCAUACAGUCUAUAUGCACAGACUAAAGCUGAUUAUCUGUGUCCAUGUAGUGAAGCCGGGUCAAUGUCCCAAACCGAAGAGCGUUCCAGAAAUUGCUGAAAGCUGUUUCCAUGAUGGCCAGUCUCCUGCCACACAGAAAUUUUGCCCAACCACCUGUGGCCAUGUAUGUAGUGAACCAGAUGAUCAGGAAAGGGAUCAGGGAAGUGGUCAGGGUUACGGAAGUGGAGAAGGAAGCGGACGGGGACAGGGAAGCGGACAGGGUUACGGAAGUGGUCAGGGUUAUGGAAGUGGAGAGGGAAGCAGAUGCGGACAGGGAAGCGGACAGGGAAGGGGUCAGGGAAGCGGACCGGGUUACGGAAGUGGUCAGGGAAGUGGUCAGGGUUAUGGAAGUGGUCAGGGUUAUGGAAGUGGUCAGGGAAGCGGACGGGGACAAGGUGAGGGAAGGGGACAAGGUGAGGGAAGCAGACAGGGAAGGGGUCAGGGAAGUGGUCAGGGUUACGGAAGUGGUCAGGGAAGCGGACGGGGACAAGGUGAGGGAAGCGGACAGGGAAGGGGUCAGGGAAGCGGACAGGGUUACGGAAGUGGUCAGGGUAGUGGUCAGGGUUAGGAAGUGGUUAGGGAAGCGGACGGGGACAAGGUGAGGGAAGGCGACAAGGUGAGGGAGGCAGAUGGGGUUGGGGUCAGGGAGGUGCUUGAAAUGUUCGGGCACGUGGUCCCAGUCAGGGACGUGGUCUGGCACAUUAAUACGUGGUUUUUUUUGCAUUAAUGCUUGCUGGAAGUCUUUCAAUUGAGUGCUUUUAUUCAUGGAUUCAUGAUUUCUUGUCCCCAUCCCUCAAAUAAAAUUGCUUUAUUAAGGAGUUUGUAUCAUCUGUUUUUUUUUAUUUUUAUUUUAUUUUCUUUUCUAGUUUAAUUCAGUGAAGACAAGGUACCUCGAAACAUGCCUGGACUGUGCAAAGGACAUUGUAAUUAAAUGGUUCAAGAAGGUGCCAUCAACAUUUUGAGGAAUGUUUAUAGGUAAAAUAAUGAACAGCUCAAGAUUCAAAUUGUGUCAGUUUAAAUGAGACUUGGGGAAGUUUGAGCAGUUUUUAUAUAUUGGCUGGCUAACUUAAAAUCUUUUGAUCCCAUCCAGGGUUGUUUGGUCUAGUUUUGUUAGUGGCUUGUUCCAUUUUAGCUUUCAUCUGUUUUAAAUCUCAUUUAAAUCUCUUGCCAGGUUUUGCAAGAUGUUUAUUAAUGGCAUAGUUGCCGCUGCAUAUGGGUAUUUACUUCAAUACAAAGAUGCAUAGCUAUGACUAAUUUUAAGUAACUUAACCCACUGGGGUAGAAGCCAGCACUGGUGUCUUGUAUUUUCUUUGACUGUGAAAAGAACUAACCCAUUUUUGAUUGUAC
RNAcentral lists this long non-coding RNA (2284 nucleotides) under Carassius auratus (goldfish). RNAcentral describes it as "lncRNA (ENSCARG00000014765.1)". Lineage: Eukaryota; Metazoa; Chordata; Actinopteri; Cypriniformes; Cyprinidae. The record is from RNAcentral.